Molecule: ribosomal RNA, 1343 nt
Filed under: uncultured bacterium
Lineage: Bacteria
Description: 16S ribosomal RNA
Rfam family: Bacterial small subunit ribosomal RNA
Source: RNAcentral
GACGAACGCUGGCGGCGUGCUUAACACAUGCAAGUCGAACGGAAAGGCCCUGCUUUUGUGGGGUGCUCGAGUGGCGAACGGGUGAGUAACACGUGAGUAACCUGCCCUUGACUUUGGGAUAACUUCAGGAAACUGGGGCUAAUACCGGAUAGGAGCUCCUGCUGCAUGGUGGGGGUUGGAAAGUUUCGGCGGUUGGGGAUGGACUCGCGGCUUAUCAGCUUGUUGGUGGGGUAGUGGCUUACCAAGGCUUUGACGGGUAGCCGGCCUGAGAGGGUGACCGGCCACAUUGGGACUGAGAUACGGCCCAGACUCCUACGGGAGGCAGCAGUGGGGAAUAUUGCACAAUGGGCGGAAGCCUGAUGCAGCAACGCCGCGUGCGGGAUGACGGCCUUCGGGUUGUAAACCGCUUUCGCCUGUGACGAAGCGUGAGUGACGGUAAUGGGUAAAGAAGCACCGGCUAACUACGUGCCAGCAGCCGCGGUGAUGCGUAGGGUGCGAGCGUUGUCCGGAUUUAUUGGGCGUAAAGGGCUCGUAGGUGGUUGAUCGCGUCGGAAGUGUAAUCUUGGGGCUUAACCCUGAGCGUGCUUUCGAUACGGGUUGACUUGAGGAAGGUAGGGGAGAAUGGAAUUCCUGGUGGAGCGGUGGAAUGCGCAGAUAUCAGGAGGAACACCAGUGGCGAAGGCGGUUCUCUGGGCCUUUCCUGACGCUGAGGAGCGAAAGCGUGGGGAGCGAACAGGCUUAGAUACCCUGGUAGUCCACGCUGUAAACGGUGGGUACUAGGUGUGGGGUCCAUUCCACGGGUUCCGUGCCGUAGCUAACGCUUUAAGUACCCCGCCUGGGGAGUACGGCCGCAAGGCUAAAACUCAAAGGAAUUGACGGGGCCCCGCACAAGCGGCGGAGCAUGCGGAUUAAUUCGAUGCAACGCGUAGAACCUUACCUGGGUUUGACAUGGAUCGGGAGUGCUCAGAGAUGGGUGUGCCUCUUUUGGGGUCGGUUCACAGGUGGUGCAUGCCUGUCGUCAGCUCGUGUCGUGAGAUGUUGGGUUAAGUCCCGCAACGAGCGCAACCCUUGUUCACUGUUGCCAGCACGUUAUGGUGGGGACUCAGUGGAGACCGCCGGGGUCAACUCGGAGGAAGGUGGGGAUGACGUCAAGUCAUCAUGCCCCUUAUGUCCAGGGCUUCACGCAUGCUACAAUGGCUGGUACAGAGAGUGGCGAGCCUGUGAGGGUGAGCGAAUCUCGGAAAGCCGGUCUCAGUUCGGAUUGGGGUCUGCAACUCGACCUCAUGAAGUCGGAGUCGCUAGUAAUCGCAGAUCAGCAACGCUGCGGUGAAUACGUUCCCGGG